GGCCAAAUGGUCUAGUAGUAUGAUUCGCCCUUCGGGUACCACCGGCCCGGAAAAGGUCAUCAAAUGGGCGAGGUCCCGGGUUCAAUUCCCGGUUUGGCCC
Molecule: non-coding RNA, 100 nt
Organism: Puccinia sorghi
Lineage: Eukaryota; Fungi; Basidiomycota; Pucciniomycetes; Pucciniales; Pucciniaceae
Source: the annotation of a GenBank genome assembly